UGCGAAGAUAUCGAUAGGCGAGACCCUAGAAGCGCUGAGAGGAAGGUAUUUUUUUGAACAGAGUGGCAGGGCCAAAAUUUAAGGGGAAAGGUUAGCGAAGAGUGGCCACCUGGUCCUGGAGAGUUAGAGUUCCGCGCGCUCUCCGGAGCCGUUGUGAGAGGAUUUCCGAUCUCAUCCCAUAACGGAGUCCCGAAGCCAACUCACCCACACCCAAAAGAAAAGAGAGCCGCCAGCAGCCCGAAUCAGGCCAUGCCCUUGAACCUAGUUCAAGGGCGAUAGAAGAGAGAGCGAUGGGGAUCGGCAGCCGGGAGCAUUAAACAGAACAGCCAAGAGGGGGUUCAGAAAAAAAAGUUCCCGCAACGGAGGAGCAUGCGCGCCGGACCUAGUGACUUAGCGAUUUUUUUUUGUUCUGAAAGAAAAACUGAGUGGGAUGAGGAUGGAGUAGUGGCCAUCACCCUGCAAAAAAAUGAAUAAAAUAUAAAUAAAUGUGAUUCCAGGGGAUCCAGAUCAGGGAAAGACCAGGAACCAGGACCAGGAAGCAUAAGAGGAAUAGGUCACAGCUCCGCCACCCUGGCUUGUUUUUCCUGCUGGUCUCGAAGGAACAGACCUGGCCACGUAGUGCGGGACCCUCGCCCACUUAGGGAGAAGAAAAAAAAAGCACAUCAACUUAUUUACUCCCAUUAAUUAUUGUUGUUAGACGUCUCCAGUUAUAAGUAUAUGUAAUUUAAGUCCGUCCAUAUUUAUUAUAUAUAUGUAACCUAUUUAUUUAUAUUUAUUAUAUUAUUUAUUCCUAUUAAUCUAAUUAUUUAUUGACCGCCAGUAGUACUAAGAUGAGGGGGGGAUGAAUAGGCAGGCGUAGUUUAGAAAAUAGGAAAUGAAGUGAAAAAUUAUAACGAAGAAAUGAAUUGUUAAGCGUUUCGUAUGGGGGGAAGAGGAGCCACAGCAACGAGAGGGUAAGGCUUUUGCCAAUGGCAGGGAGAUCCGGAACGUGUGAUUCAGAUCUCAGGUAGGGUGGGUGCGUCGGGGGUAAAACAUCGACACCUCGACCUGGUCCAAGUCUGUGUUGAGGGAAGACUGUAAUGUUGUUUGUCGAGUAGAGUCCGUUUUUUUCAGUUUUUUUUUUGUCGGUUAUUUUUGUUGUUUCAUUUUGUUCGAGAUGUCCAAUCAGUUGGUUGUUGUGCGACCUGAGGGCUUGGGAAGUAUCCAGCCCUGGGAUGACUGGCUAG
Drosophila pseudoobscura is the source of this 1226-nucleotide long non-coding RNA. RefSeq lists it as uncharacterized. Lineage: Eukaryota; Metazoa; Arthropoda; Insecta; Diptera; Drosophilidae. The transcript is spliced from 2 exons. The record is from RefSeq and is a predicted model, not a curated record.